GAUGAACGCUGGCGGCGUGCUUAACACAUGCAAGUCGAACGGAAAGGCUCCUGCUUGCUGGGGUACUCGAGUUGCGAACGGGUGAGUAACACGUAGGUGAUCUGCCCUGCACUUCGGGAUAAGUCUGGGAAACGGGAGCUAAUACCGGAUAAGACCAUUGGUUGGAUGCCAUUGUGGAAAGAUUUUCGAUUUGGGAAGAGCGUGGGGUCUAUCCGCUUGUUGGUGGGGUAAUGGGGUAACAAGGCGUCGACGGGUAGCCGGCCUGAGAGGGUGUAAGGCCACAUUGGGACUGAGAUACGGGCCAGACGCCUACGGGAGGCAUCAGUGGGGAAUAGUGCACAAUGGGCGGCAGCCUGAUGCAGCGACGCCGCGUGGGAGAUGACGGUCUUAGGGGUGUAACCUGUUUUCGCUAGGGACGAAGCGAAAGUGACGGUACCUGGCGAAGAAGCACCGGCUAACUACGUG
This 465-nucleotide ribosomal RNA is filed under the name uncultured bacterium. Its description in RNAcentral is "partial 16S ribosomal RNA". It matches the Rfam family "Bacterial small subunit ribosomal RNA", at positions 28 to 507 of the family's 1533-position model. The record is from RNAcentral.